UUGGAGGGCAAGUCUGGUGCCAGCAGCCGCGGAAAUUCCAGCUCCAAUAGCGUAUAUUAAAGUUGUUGCAGUUAAAAAGCUCGUAGUUGAACCUCGGGGUCUACCCAUUGGUCAGGCUUAAUUGUCUGCACUGGUGAGAUGGAUCUCUACCUUCUGAGGAACUUUCAUGCCAUUCAUUUGGUGUGAUGGGAAAUCAGGACUGUUACUUUGAAAAAAUUAGAGUGUUUAAAGCAGACUAUCGUCUGAAUACAUUAGCAUGGAAUAAUGAAAUAGGACGGACUGAUUCUAUUUCGUUGGUUUCUAGGAUCACCGUAAUGAUUAAUAGGGAUAGUUGGGGGCAUUAGUAUUCAAUUGUCAGAGGUGAAAUUCUUGGAUUUAUUGAAGACUAACUACUGCGAAAGCAUUUGCCAAGGAUGUUUUCAUUAAUCAAGAACGAAAGUUAGGGGAUCGAAGACGAUCAGAUACCGUCGUAGUCUUAACCAUAAACUAUGCCGACUAGGGAUCGGACGAAGUUAAUUUUAUAAUGACGCGUUCGGCGCCUUACGGGAAAC
This 551-nucleotide ribosomal RNA is filed under the name uncultured Diversispora. Its description in RNAcentral is "SSU rRNA". It matches the Rfam family "Eukaryotic small subunit ribosomal RNA", at positions 548 to 1098 of the family's 1831-position model. Lineage: Eukaryota; Fungi; Glomeromycota; Glomeromycetes; Diversisporales; Diversisporaceae. The record is from RNAcentral.